RNAcentral lists this long non-coding RNA (712 nucleotides) under Mytilus galloprovincialis (Mediterranean mussel). Lineage: Eukaryota; Metazoa; Mollusca; Bivalvia; Mytilida; Mytilidae. The record is from RNAcentral.
CCUCCAUCUUGUUUAUUUACUUUUUUCGAGUUUCUCGGACUUUACCCGAUCAGACAAUACUCGGAAUUCACCUUGACCUCAUUAAGAUUUAGACAGAAAAUCAAUAAUCAGCUGAUUGCAUUUUAUAGCUAUCGACAACAAAGGACUAAUUAAUAAAGGUGUUGAUUGAAUUGUUUCACAAAAUGAUAUGGUCAAAUGGCUUCCGCUAUAAAUGUCACAUACAGAAUUUAUUUACAUCUUUGCGACGCACGUGUUUGAAGCAAACUUUUGACAUCUCUCCCUUUAAAGAUAGUUUUGAAAAGAAAGCUGUUGUUGUGACGAAAAUUGUUCAAAAGCAAGAAAAAUCUCCGAUUUAAAACUUUAAUUCUUUUAUCCUUUGACUUUAAUAAAGUCGUUUGAGUGACACAUGCACGUGUUUCAAGCAUAGUUGUACGUCUCAACUUUUUCAUUUACGAUGGUCAAGAAAAGAAAACUGUCGUUAUGAAAAAAUCUAUCCAAAAGGCUGGGAACAACCCCUCGAAUGAGAGUAACCCUUCAAUGUAAUGACUACACAUGAAAUGAGGGAUCAAUUUCAUGUGAUAAAAGCUUUUGUUUUGUUGUAAAAAUUACUUCUUAGUACAAAAGGGCACAACAGGAAAAAUAUAUUUAUGUUACUUGGCGAAAAAAAUAAUAAAGUGGCGAAAAAUAUAUUGUUUUGGCGAAAGAGGUGGUG